UUUUUAUGAUAAUUAAUGUAAUUCGGUAUGUAUUAUAUUAUACAUUUUGGCUAAUUUUCAGCUUGACUCUGCCUAGCGCUGUUCCUCUUAUCUCAUGGUCCCGAGCGCAGUUCAAAUGUUGAUUGACAUUCAGACUGUCUGCGGAUUAGUAAGGGAAAUAAUACUACCAAGCGAAACCAAACCAAAAAUCGGCUGAAAAUAGAAAAGGAGAGAACAGUAGUAGCUUCAACUACAUCUUCAACUACAUCAACUACAUCUUCAACUUCAACUAUUUCUUUGAAUUCAUAAAGACCAUUGGAUAUAUAAAAGAGAAAAA
Pogonomyrmex barbatus (red harvester ant) is the source of this 316-nucleotide long non-coding RNA. Lineage: Eukaryota; Metazoa; Arthropoda; Insecta; Hymenoptera; Formicidae. The record is from RefSeq and is a predicted model, not a curated record.